This 326-nucleotide long non-coding RNA is filed under the name Elaeis guineensis (African oil palm). RNAcentral's name for it is "long non-coding RNA (EGUI_LNC067882)". The record is from RNAcentral. Lineage: Eukaryota; Viridiplantae; Streptophyta; Magnoliopsida; Arecales; Arecaceae.
AUGGUGCGAAUUAGAUUUGGCAGGAAUUUGAAAGAAAUUAUUGCUUGGAAAAAGGGCCGAGUUUAGAAGCUUGUUUUGUUCUUCCUAAUUCACCAUGAUCUCCAGCCACCAUCAUUUCCAUAAUAGCAAGACGCAAUCAAGGUUGUUUUGUUCUUCCUAAUUCACCAUGAUCUUCAGCCACCAUCAUUUCCAUAGUAGCAAGAUGCAGCCAAAGUUUUUUUGUUCUUCCUAAUUCACCAUGAUCUCCAGCCACCAUCAUUUUCAUAGUAGCAAGAUACGGCCACUAUCAUUUUCUUUGUAGCAAGAUAUAGCCACCAUCAUUUCUA